RNAcentral lists this ribosomal RNA (253 nucleotides) under uncultured bacterium. RNAcentral's name for it is "partial 16S ribosomal RNA". It matches the Rfam family "Bacterial small subunit ribosomal RNA", at positions 524 to 776 of the family's 1533-position model. The record is from RNAcentral.
UACGAAGGGGGCUAGCGUUGCUCGGAAUCACUGGGCGUAAAGGGUGCGUAGGCGGGUCUUUACGUCAGGGGUGAAAUCCUGGAGCUCAACUCCAGAACUGCCUUUGAUACUGAGGAUCUUGAGUACGGGAGAGGUGAGUGGAACUGCGAGUGUAGAGGUGAAAUUCGUAGAUAUUCGCAAGAACACCAGUGGCGAAGGCGGCUCACUGGCCCGUAACUGACGCUGAGGCACGAAAGCGUGGGGAGCAAACAGG